UUUAGGUCUGUUCGACCUUUAAAACUUUACAUGAUCUGAGUUUAAACCGGUGUAAGCCAGGUUGGUUUCUAUCUUUAAUAAAAUAAAAUAUUUUAGUACGAAAGGACCAAAUAUUUAUUAUAAUAAUUUUUAUUUGAAUAUUAUU
This 145-nucleotide ribosomal RNA is filed under the name Clerus sp. RNAcentral's name for it is "partial 16S ribosomal RNA". Lineage: Eukaryota; Metazoa; Arthropoda; Insecta; Coleoptera; Cleridae. The record is from RNAcentral.